RNAcentral lists this ribosomal RNA (251 nucleotides) under uncultured bacterium. Its description in RNAcentral is "partial small subunit ribosomal RNA". It matches the Rfam family "Bacterial small subunit ribosomal RNA", at positions 26 to 278 of the family's 1533-position model. The record is from RNAcentral.
AGGACGAACGCUGGCGGCGUGCUUAACACAUGCAAGUCGAACGGUGAACCAGGGCUUGCCCUGGGGAUCAGUGGCGAACGGGUGAGUAACACGUGACCAACCUGCCCUUGGCUCUGGGAUAACCCCGGGAAACCGGAGCUAAUACCGGAUACGAGUCCGUAUGGCAUCACACGGACUGGAAAGUUUUUCGGCCAAGGAUGGGGUCGCGGCCUAUCAGCUUGUUGGUGGGGUAAUGGCCUACCAAGGCGACG